CAACCAUCAAGAGCGGCUGAGAGAUCUGGCUCGUUGACGCCGCAGCAACCAUCAUCCGGUGGAUUCCCUUCAGGGACUCGACCGGCGAGGGUGCUACCGCCAGAAGCGAUGGAGC
This 115-nucleotide non-coding RNA is filed under the name Paeniglutamicibacter gangotriensis. RNAcentral describes it as "Arthrobacter gangotriensis SAM-I sequence". It matches the Rfam family "SAM riboswitch aptamer (S box leader)". Rfam says of the family: The SAM riboswitch is found upstream of a number of genes which code for proteins involved in methionine or cysteine biosynthesis in Gram-positive bacteria. The SAM riboswitch acts at the level of transcription termination control. The predicted structure consists of a complex stem-loop region followed by a single stem loop terminator region. The record is from RNAcentral. Lineage: Bacteria; Bacillati; Actinomycetota; Actinomycetes; Micrococcales; Micrococcaceae. RNAcentral also lists the same sequence under 1 other name.